Motacilla alba alba is the source of this 1150-nucleotide non-coding RNA. The record is from the annotation of a RefSeq genome assembly. Lineage: Eukaryota; Metazoa; Chordata; Aves; Passeriformes; Motacillidae.
CAGACGAUGGGAGCGAAGGAAAGGCAGGGACUGUCGAUGCUGAGCUGCACGAUGCCAUCCCGAUGCCCUGGGCCCCAGCCCGGCGCCGCCGCUUGCGACGUGCAGAGAGCCGAGCGCCGCCCCGCAGCCCCCGCGCUCGCCUCCGCUCCGUUCCCUGGCGGGACUGGGCGAGAGCCCGAGCGGCAGCGGCGCAGGGCUGAGCCCCGGGGCGGAGCUGGCGGCGGCCCAGAGGAGGCGGCACGGCCGCAGCAGAGCCGGGGCUCAGGGGCACAGCGAGGCUCGGCCGGCGGAGCGGCGCCAUGCGGCGGGCUCGGGCCGCGGGGCUGCCGGCGCUGGCCGCGCUGCUGCUCGUGGCUUCAGGCAGAGCCCAGGUGCAGCAGGAGCCAUUCCUGGAGACCACCGAGGGCACCGGCAUCAACAUCACCUGCUCACAUUCCCAGAAAUUGAGCGGCGAUUUCAUCCAUUUCUACCGUCAGCUGCCGGGUCGAGCACCCGAAUUCCUCGCCCUCGCUGCCUAUACAGGCUCCAAGGAUGUGCCGGGCAUUGCAGGAACGCUGUCGGUGUCGGAGGACGGGCGCUCCAGCGCGCUGUGGCUGGCUGUGCCCCGGCGCGGGGACGCGGCCGUGUAUUACUGCGCGCUGGGGGCCACGGGCAGAGGAGCCGGGGCUGCGGCCGGGCACGAACCGCCGCGGGCGGGGCCGGGCGGGGCCAGCAGGGGCCGCUGCCGCUCCGCCCGCCGGGCUCCCGGGGCGCGGCUCCGCAGCUCCUUCCUCUGCCCCGAGCCCGCCCGCACCGACAGCGCCGAUGGCACCGAAAAGGCCGACACGCUCCGGGACUGCUGGCCCUCCCUUUAACUACUAUUGCUUCUCCUCCCUUCCAUCACAUCCCUCAGCAUCCCUGACGCCUUGCUGGGAAUAAAGCAGCAACCCGAGUAGAAGAAGCAAUUAAAGAACUCCUACUGCACAUACACGAGUUCAUGGUACCACACACACACCCUGGGGCUUGCACACGCCCAAAUGAUAACUCAUAGCUCUGCAUCUAUGAAGAGGUGUGUGCACACACAUUUCCAAAGGAGACCCAGGCACAGACACUUCUCCUUCUGCCAUGUCCCCACUGAUGUGCAAACACGCACGCUCGCUCCUAUUCCUGC